UACGAAGGGGGCUAGCGUUGCUCGGAAUCACUGGGCGUAAAGCGCACGUAGGCGGCUUUCUAAGUCAGGGGUGAAAUCCUGGAGCUCAACUCCAGAACUGCCUUUGAUACUGGGAAGCUUGAGUCCGGAAGAGGUGAGUGGAACUGCGAGUGUAGAGGUGAAAUUCGUAGAUAUUCGGAAGAACACCAGUGGCGAAGGCGACUCACUGGACAUGUAUUGACGCUGAGGUGCGAAAGCGUGGGGAGCAAACAGG
Molecule: ribosomal RNA, 253 nt
Filed under: uncultured bacterium
Lineage: Bacteria
Description: partial 16S ribosomal RNA
Rfam family: Bacterial small subunit ribosomal RNA
Source: RNAcentral